UACGUAGGGUGCAAGCGUUGUCCGGAAUUAUUGGGCGUAAAGGGCUCGUAGGCGGUCCAUCACGUCGGGAGUGAAAAGCUGGGGCUUAACCCCAGUCCUGCUUCCGAUACGGGUGGACUAGAGGUAGGCAGGGGAGAACGGAAUUCCUGGUGUAGCGGUGAAAUGCGCAGAUAUCGGGAGGAACACCAAUUGCGAAGGCAGCUCGCUGGGACGUUACUGACGCUGAGACGCGAAAGCGUGGGGAGCAAACAGG
Molecule: ribosomal RNA, 253 nt
Filed under: uncultured bacterium
Lineage: Bacteria
Description: partial 16S ribosomal RNA
Rfam family: Bacterial small subunit ribosomal RNA
Source: RNAcentral